GACGAACGCUGGCGGCGUGCUUAACACAUGCAAGUCGAACGGAAAGGCCCUGCUUUUGUGGGGUGCUCGAGUGGCGAACGGGUGAGUAACACGUGAGUAACCUGCCCUUGUCUUUGGGAUAACUUCCGGAAACUGGGGCUAAUAAAGGAUAGGUGCUCCUGCUGCAUGGUGGGGGUUGGAAAGUUUCGGCGGUUGGGGAUGGUCUGUGGGCUUAUCAGCUUGUUGGUGGGGUAGUGGCUUACCAAGGCUUUGACGGGUAGCCGGCAUGAGAGGGUGACCAGCGACAUGAGUACUGCGAGACGGCCCAGACUCCUACGGGAGGCAGCAGUGGGGAACAUUGCACAAUGGGCGGAAGCCUGAUACAGCAACGCCGCGUGCGGGAUGACGUCCUUCUAGUUGUAAACCGCUUUCGCCUGUGACGAAGCGUGAGUGACGGUAAUGGGUAAGGAAGCACCGGCUAACUACGUG
This 468-nucleotide ribosomal RNA is filed under the name uncultured bacterium. RNAcentral's name for it is "partial 16S ribosomal RNA". It matches the Rfam family "Bacterial small subunit ribosomal RNA", at positions 28 to 507 of the family's 1533-position model. The record is from RNAcentral.